UUUAUUCUUUAUAACUUGAUAUGUUAUAAACAUUAUUUAUUAUCUACUAAAUAGCAAAUACAAAUGAUAACUCUUCAUUGUUGAUGAAAGCCAUUUUUCGGGGGUACAGGAAAGGGCAUCUUAUAGAUUGGGAGAUGAGGAUUUUGAUGAUUGCCUAGAAGACUUUAUUUUGUAAUAAUCCUGAAGCAAAAUGGCAUGAAGCUCUGCUGACCUGUGAUAACUGUGUGUAUUUCCUUCCAGUGUCUCACCAACUGGCAGCCAUCCACUUCAGGUGUGCCCGUUGAAGGAUGCCACCUCGAAGGAGAUGGGACCAGCCUUGUGUUGGGGUGAGGAUUCUGGCCACUUGAUCUGGGCAGGAGUGCUCUGCUCAGAGUGCAGUGCUCAAUCUUACAAGCCUGGCUCGCCUGAACUGUGAAAGGUCAGCAGGACUAAGCUGAGCGCCAGGAUUCCAACUUCCCUUCUUCCGCCCCAGGUCUGGCAACUUGUAAAUGUGGAGGCUCUGCUAAGCACUGGGAUUUUAUUAAGGGCCUCGUUAAAAUUUACUAGAAUCAAAUAAAGAAAAGAUCCAGCCUUGGAAAUCAUUCUCCACGCUGUCUCUCCUUCUGACCUCUUCUCAACCCCCAUCCCCCACACCAUUUAUUCAUCCGUGAAACCUUUAACAACUGAACUAAUUCUGGAAAGUUGCCCAUAUCAGAUAUCUUCAGAAAUCACUUUGGAAAAUGCCUUUAGGAAGGUAGGACACCUCUUCCCAUUUGUCUUAUGAUGGCAGGUCCAGAGCUUACAUGAAGAGGCAGUGAGGCAAAGAUGUAAAGAAUAUGGACUCUUCAGUCAGACCUGGGAUGAACCCCGGCCAUUACCUACUCACGGAGGAGCCUGGGCCACUUAUCUAACCUCUCUGAGGCUCACUUUCUGCGUCUAUCAAAUGAGAAUAGCGCUACUAUCUGCUGUAUGAAACACUGACCGAGUUAAGCAAAAUAAUGCAGGUUAGCUGCUUAAUCCAGUGUCUAGCACAUAGCAAGUGCCAAAAAUGUGAGCGAUUAAAAGGGGUCUUUUACUAGCACUGGCCACAUCCCCAUCUUAUCGCUUUAUCUUCCAUUGAGCAGAGGUUCUGCCAGGUGCAGGGGACAAGGGAGAAGAAAAGACACGCACAUUCUCCUGGGCUUCAAAGUUGUCCCAUCCUUCUGUGAUGUCAUAAUCUGAGCCAUAGCCCACAAAUGUGAACUCCAACAACCCCCAAACCCAGUCCUCACCUCCCACAUGCUUUUCAUCACCCGCUCUCACAUCCCAUCUGGGGCCUCUGCUUCCAUCCUACCAUUUCGCAAGCCUGGCCAACUCAAGCUCCGUGUGCUGCACCUAGAGCAGCCCAUCUCUGUGUCAGGGAGGUGAGCUGCUCAGUUGCCAGAGUAUCAACCUGAGCCCAGGACACUGCCAGACUGCUGAGUCAAAGAGGGUUUAGCAGCCCAUUUUCAUAGACAGACAGGUGAGAGGAGGAUGCUGGACAUGGUCCCAGAGACAUGGGGACUCAAGAAACAUGAAGAUCUGUUCACAGCUAAGGGCACAUUUCCAUGCCGAGAAAUCAGGCGUGAGCGCAAGAGUCCUAUCGUCUACCAGAAAAAGAAAUCUUUGGGAGCAUUCAAGGAGGAAUGGCUUCAUGAUGGCAAUGAGCGGCAUCGCCUGAAAGACAGCCUUCGAGAGUCUCCCAGAGCCGCUGAGGAGCAAGGCAGAGAACUGCAAUCCAAGCAAAUGUGGUGGGUGUGAAGCUUUCAAGAAGUUGGGUCAAGAACAAGGACUGAAAGAGGAGCAUCAAUUUAUGGGGGCCACUGAGGCUUUCAGAGAUUUUGUGACCUACCAAACUGGCACAGCUAGUAAAUGGAUGACAAGCCAUUAACAUGGAAAGAAGAAGAGGCAUCCAAAGUGUUGGGUCCGCAUCGCCCUUGCCUUGGAGGAAGCUCCAAAUAGAGGGAAGGAUGGUUUCCAGCAGUCCCUGAAGUGCCUUUCCUCCUUCGUGGGAUCCAGUUACACCCAGCAGACUUCAGUUUGAAUAAACAGAACUAGAUGAAUACACCUAGGGAAUCUGUGAGGCCAGCCUCAGCUUUUAACAUCCAGCUACAGGGAGAGGUGUACAGUGACUUGCCCAAAGUCAAACAGCUUGUAAACUGCAGACCCAGGAGCCAAACCACAGCAAGCUCUUCCAUCCUACAGGAAGCAUUCUCUGCCUAAUUAAGAAGAGUUUGUGGCCUACACUUCAUGUUCCCAUAGCACCUGCCUACUCCAUGUGAGGAGGACAAGGAUGAAGACCUUUAUGGUGAUCCAUUUCCAUUUAAUGAAUUGCAGAGAAAAUGUCAAGUUCAUCAGCUGAAACGAAAACUCCCACUGUCCAGGCUAAGAGACCAGGGUCAGGGAUGGGAUCCCAAACUUUGAGGUGGAAGAUGGAGAAAGGGUGGG
This 2445-nucleotide long non-coding RNA is filed under the name Homo sapiens (human). RNAcentral's name for it is "HSALNT0330814". Lineage: Eukaryota; Metazoa; Chordata; Mammalia; Primates; Hominidae. The record is from RNAcentral.